Molecule: long non-coding RNA, 571 nt
Organism: Chroicocephalus ridibundus (black-headed gull)
Lineage: Eukaryota; Metazoa; Chordata; Aves; Charadriiformes; Laridae
Exons: 4
Source: RefSeq, a predicted model, not a curated record
GUGCCGCGCCGCCGCGGGGAGCUGCCUGCCCUGGCGGGGGCCGGCCCGCCCGCCUGCGCGCCGCCGCCGGAGGGAGGGAGGGGAGCAGCGGGGACGCGCUCAGCCGCCGGCCACCAUCUUCCUCACGGGAAGGCGGGGGGGGUUGUGUGUGUGUGCGCGCCGUUGGGGCGCGGCGCCGCGGCGGGAGCGCGCACACCACCACCACCCCCCCGCCUUCCCGCCCAGGCUGAGGGGUGCGCGCGUGGCUGAGGGGAGCGGCUCGCGCCCCGUCCCUCAGAGGCGGCGGCGGGCUGACAGGGACGGGGUGAGCCUUUCCCAGCUGGGUGCCCCCAAAGCCCUCGAUUCCGGCCAUCCUUCCCCCAGCGGCAAGUCCCCCCUUCUCUGAAGACAGCACCGUUUAGUAAAAUCUUUCGUUUACUGGUUCGGAGGACAGUGAAAUGGGACUGAAGAAGACAUCUGACUUGUCAAACCCCUCCUCUGGUGAUCUGCCGUGGAAAGGUGACCCCGGGCGCUGCUGAGCCGGGAAUGGACAUGGUGAGAGCCAUUGCUGCCUGAGCUGAGCGUUCCCAGG